UACGUAGGGUGCGAGCGUUAAUAGGAAUUACUGGGCGUAAAGCGUGCGCAGGCGGUUGUGUAAGACAGGUGUGAAAUCCCCGGGCUUAACCUGGGAAUUGCAUUUGUGACUGCACGGCUAGAGUUUGGCAGAGGGGGGUAGAAUUCCACGUGUAGCAGUGAAAUGCGUAGAUAUGUGGAGGAAUACCGAUGGCGAAGGCAGCCCCCUGGGUCAAGACUGACGCUCAUGCACGAAAGCGUGGGGAGCAAACAGG
RNAcentral lists this ribosomal RNA (253 nucleotides) under uncultured bacterium. Its description in RNAcentral is "partial 16S ribosomal RNA". It matches the Rfam family "Bacterial small subunit ribosomal RNA", at positions 524 to 776 of the family's 1533-position model. The record is from RNAcentral.